This 424-nucleotide unclassified non-coding RNA is filed under the name Athalia rosae (coleseed sawfly). Its description in RNAcentral is "misc RNA ENSAEAG00005004222.1". The record is from RNAcentral. Lineage: Eukaryota; Metazoa; Arthropoda; Insecta; Hymenoptera; Athaliidae.
AUAUCCGUGUGAACAAAUGUAGCUAUGUAGUCGCGUGUGAUAACGUGGUUGGUAAUCAAUCGGUAUAGUUUUCUAUGAUUUAUCAUCGGUAGAUUCGGAUUUAUUUUAACAUUAUUAUUAUUGUUAUUAUUAUAAUUAUCGUAAUAUAUUAGCGUCCUCUUGCCCACCGUUUUUUUUCUUUUUUUCGUCGAGGUGUUACGUCCGGACCUCAGUCCACACGGUCGUGACAGAGGGAUGUUUCAAGUUCACCGGACUUUUCACUUUCGGUUGAUUUGAAUUCUUGGAUCUUCUCUAGUUUUCAGUUUUCCUCCUUUUUUUUUUUUCGUUUCCUAGAUUUCUCUUUCUAUCGUUUUUCUGUUCUCUAAUUUCUUUGCUUUUUCGCUUCGGUUUGUUCGUUUGUUUGUUUGUUUUUUUUUUUUUUUUU